Molecule: transfer RNA, 70 nt
Filed under: Nanobdellota archaeon
Lineage: Archaea; Nanobdellati; Nanobdellota
Description: tRNA-Thr
Rfam family: tRNA (bases 6-62)
About the family: Transfer RNA (tRNA) molecules are approximately 80 nucleotides in length. Their secondary structure includes four short double-helical elements and three loops (D, anti-codon, and T loops).
Source: RNAcentral
GCGUGUGGCUCAGUGGUAGAGCGCUACCUUGGUAAGGUAGAGGUCCCGAGUUCAAUUCUCGGAUGUUGCU